Molecule: ribosomal RNA, 470 nt
Filed under: uncultured bacterium
Lineage: Bacteria
Description: bacterial SSU rRNA
Rfam family: Bacterial small subunit ribosomal RNA
Source: RNAcentral
GAGUUUGAUCCUGGCUCAGGAUGAAUGCUGGCGGCGCGCCUAACACAUGCAAGUCGAGCGGUAACAGGAGUAAUUUAUUACUUGCUGACGAGCGGCGGACGGCUGAGUAACGCGUAGGAACAUGCCCCAAAGUGAGGAAUAAGCUCCAGAAAUGGAGUCUAAUGCCGCAUAUGAUCUUCGGAUUAAAGGAUUUAUCCGCUUUGGGAGUGGCCUGCGUACGAUUAGAUAGUUGGUGAGGUAAUGGCUCACCAAGUCUACGAUCGUUAACUGUUCUGAGAGGAUGAUCAGUCAGACUGGAACUGAGACACGGUCCAGACUCCUACGGGAGGCAGCAGUGAGGAAUCUUCCACAAUGGGCGAAAGCCUGAUGGAGCGACGCCGCGUGCAGGAUGAAGGCCUUCGGGUUGUAAACUGCUUUUAUAAGUGAAGAAUAUGACGGUAACUUAUGAAUAAGCACCGGCUAACUACGUG